This 74-nucleotide small RNA is filed under the name Polaribacter sp. SA4-12. RNAcentral describes it as "Flavo-1 RNA". It matches the Rfam family "Flavo-1 RNA". The record is from Rfam by way of RNAcentral. Lineage: Bacteria; Pseudomonadati; Bacteroidota; Flavobacteriia; Flavobacteriales; Flavobacteriaceae.
GUUUAGCCCUGAUUGAAGUGACAUCCUUUUUUUAUUUUUCUUAAAAAAAGAUAUAACGGAAAGCAGGAAAUAGC